CGGUUAUUGAUGCCGAUAAGCUGAACGCCAUCUAUUUUGAGCACACGAUCCAGCUCCCUCUCAUCAUGAACCUAGAAUAUGACUGUCAUUCCGAGGUUCUUGCAGAUGCGAAGCAUGUACUUGAUGUCGAGAUCAGGUAACACGGCAGCAAUCAACAGAAUUGCAUCCGCACCCUUUGACCGAGCGUAAUAGAUUUGCCAGAUAUCUAUCACAAACUCCUUGCAAAGAAGAGGGCACUGCAGGCAUUGACAGAAUCAAACUUCAAGAAGAACAGCCAACCUGAAAGUGUUUUUCGUCGGUCAGGAUACUGAGGCAAGCCGCGCCGUUCUUCUCAUAGGAUUGCGCGAUCUCAACCUGUUAUCAUCCUCCCGGAGCACGCCUCUGCUCGGCGACGCCUUCUUCACCUCGGCGAUCAGCGCCGGCGCGACGUUGCGGCUGUAGGCCGCCGUUAGCGCGCCGACGAAGUCCCUGGCCGGUGGCGCGUGCUGGCUCGACUCGAUCACCUUCUGCAGCGGCUUCUUCGCCUUCCUCUGC
This 534-nucleotide small RNA is filed under the name Oryza sativa Japonica Group (Japanese rice). RNAcentral describes it as "sRNA Os09g0255600". The record is from RNAcentral. Lineage: Eukaryota; Viridiplantae; Streptophyta; Magnoliopsida; Poales; Poaceae.